RNAcentral lists this ribosomal RNA (468 nucleotides) under uncultured bacterium. RNAcentral describes it as "partial 16S ribosomal RNA". It matches the Rfam family "Bacterial small subunit ribosomal RNA", at positions 28 to 507 of the family's 1533-position model. The record is from RNAcentral.
GACGAACGCUGGCGGCGUGCUUAACACAUGCAAGUCGAACGGAAAGGCCCUGCUUUUGUGGGGUGCUCGAGUGGCGAACGGGUGCGUAACACGUGAGUAACCUGCCCUUGACUUUGGGAUAACUUCAGGAAACUGGGGCUAAUACCGGAUAGGAGCUCCUGCUGCAUGGUGGGGGUUGGAACGUUUCGGCGGUUGGGGAUGGACUCGCGGCUUAUCAGCUUGUUGGUGGGGUAGUGGCUUACCAAGCCUUUGACGGGUAGCCGGCCUGAGAGGGUGAACGGCGACAUUGGGACUGAGAGACGGCGCAGACUGCUACGGGGGGCAGCAGGGGGGAAUAUUGCACAAUGGGCGGAAGCCUGAUGCAGCAACGCCGCGUGCGGGAUGACGGCCUUCGGGUUGUAAACCGCUUUCGCCUGUGACGAAGCGGGAGUGACGGUAAUGGGUAAAGAAGCACCGGCUAACUACGUG